AUCCCCGACCCCCGGGGGUCAGCAUGUUGUGCAAGAGAGGGGUGAUUUGGCGUGAACGACUGACAGUAUGAUCUUGUGGUGCCAUCAGAGGUGAUUGAUGGAGGCUGUAAAGUUUCAUUGAUAAGCGGGAGCGAAGUCAUAAAUUCUGCAAUGCAUGGUUGACUGUUUAUAAAUCCGCUCUCUCUCGGUUCAUCCAUGGUCAUCUGCAGAACAAAUGAAGAUGAGAGACAAUCAGAGACUCGUUUUACAUCCCAUGUUAUGUAUAUACUAUAAUUGUGUCGUAUAUUCUAUUACUCAGGUGACACACAAACUUUGUAUAAGUACGAUGAACGUCUCUCUUAGAAUAUUCAAAUAUCGAGAGGUCAUGUGACCCACCUAAGCCAAUCAAUUUCGCCAGAAGGUAAACUUGACAGCUAACGGUGGGAAUAUAGAAUGCAUCAAUGAGGUAUCUGUAGCAACUUGAAAAAAAUGCAAAAUUUGCAUAAAUCCUUUCUCUAUCAAUAGGUAAAUCAUUUAUUCUAACAUACAUGGAAGUAAUUACAGGGACAAUAGAUAAAUUCUUGAGUGUUUCACGAUCCCUAUAAGCCAGUUUUUACGAGGUUUGUAGGACGAAUUUAUGUCGGUAGCAAUAUUACAAUUAUUAUUUCUGACCUGUCAGAGAUCUUUGUGACAAGCCGUAAAUCAUUUCUUUAGCGAACAUGUCAACAAUGAAGGAAAAUAGUUCAAUAACGAUCAGGCUCACCGACGCAAACCUGCCUCGCGUGCAGUGGCAAAAAAUCAAAACCAUUCCAGAUUGUGGGAUUUUAAAAAUUCCUGUUCGUUGUCAUUCGACAUUUUCAAUGUUUUUCUUGCCUUGGCUUCAAACCUAUUGGAUGCAUUACAUGUCAAAAGUCCGAUGGAUACAUGUGUUUUAUCACGAGCUGUCAAAACCGAUAUUUGUUUUACACUUGACAUUUAGUGAGCGAUAUGCUUCUUGGUUUAUUUCUUGAAACCCAAUGUUUUUUCUUGGAUCUGUCGCAAUGCUAAUUUCUAAAAAUUGCAAGGAAACGUUUGAAUUCACUGAGAGGGUCAGCUGGAUUGUGGUAAUGAUUUCGCAAUGUUCGAAAAAAAAAAAUGUUUGAUUUAGAUAUAUUUUAUUCUGUAUAUAACAUAACAGAAUUAGACAACACACAGAGUCUACCUAAACCUCCUGAGGUACAAGGUCACUACACAUACACUUUAUAAAAACAAUUGUGAAAAUAUUUGCAAUAUAUGACAACAUCUUCCGACAAUAAACAUAGGUCCAUGGAAUACUCUCCUAUUGCAAUUUAAUGAUGAGAUCGGGAUGACCAUGCUUUAUCUGACAUACCCAGGGAAAACUCGACGUCAGUCCCUCUCUCCCCCACAGAUGAAAAUGUCAGACCAUAAUGAGGAAAUGAUUGAGUAGAAAAUUGGAAGAGUCGUCGGGCUUGUCUCUGUUACUAAUACUUAUGUAAGAAACAGAAGCAGUGCCAGGAAAACUGUUCCUCCCCAAGUCGCUGUCUCACCAUCUGAUAUUGUUAUGUGAUAUUAUAAGAUUUAAUAAAUCAGACGGCUUAAAGAAAAA
Long non-coding RNA from Ostrea edulis (European flat oyster), 1585 nucleotides. RefSeq lists it as uncharacterized. The record is from RefSeq and is a predicted model, not a curated record. The transcript is spliced from 2 exons. Lineage: Eukaryota; Metazoa; Mollusca; Bivalvia; Ostreida; Ostreidae.